Branchiostoma floridae (Florida lancelet) is the source of this 1435-nucleotide long non-coding RNA. RefSeq lists it as uncharacterized. The record is from RefSeq and is a predicted model, not a curated record. The transcript is spliced from 2 exons. NCBI's taxonomy places the organism in Eukaryota, Metazoa, Chordata, Leptocardii, Amphioxiformes, Branchiostomatidae.
UACUUAGACAAUAAGCCUAUUUGCAUUUACCAGUACGCAUGCGCGGAAUUUCCUUAGCAACGAAAAAAGUGAGAUAAACAAGUCGCGUUCGACAGGGCAGCGUGUGUCCAGGUUCAAUGUUCAAGUGUCGAGAUUUUUAGCCUCUACACGGCGUUAACGGCAGCUACCCGCCUGGAUCUGAUGUUCCAACGAUGUCCUAAACCUUGUGUACCUGAAACACCGUGUUCAGUUUCGCUUCAGAGGAAUUUACGGUGCCGGAGUUCAACAUGAGGCUGUGUGCAGUGGUCGGCCGUAAUGGAACAUAUCAACCAAGGCGGUUUCAACCUUCUUGUAUCAACUUUAAAAAAAGGAAGUCAGGGACAUGUCCAAAUAAAAACAUGGAACAAAAAAAGGAUUUUGAUGAUGCAACUGUCCCCAACCUUUCCAGCUAUGCAUUUCCCACUGACAAGAAAGACCCAUGGUCGGACAAAACUGUUCUUGCUCACAGAUUGCCAACACUUGGGUUCGCUUCCUGUCUGUUACACUACAACCACUGAUAGUAUGGCCAAGUAGAGCUGCAAUUUCCAAGACCUUGCCACCACAAUUCAAGAAACAAUGUAGUAGAAUAAGAUGCAUAAUUGAUUGUACAGAAAUAUUUAUUGAGAGACCUAGAUCUUUAGACUUACAAGCCUCCACAUGGUAUGACUAUAAAAACACAAUACUUUAAAGCCGUUUGUAGGGAUCACACCAAAUGGGCACAUCUCCUUUCUUUCAAAGAUCUAUGGCGGAAGAGCCUCUGAUGUGUUCAUUACCUGGGACUGUGGCUUUUUAGAUUUGGUUGAUCCAAAUGACGUUAUAAAAAUAAUGGCAGAUAGGGGAUUUCCAAUCCAGGAGGACCUGAUGCUGCUGAAUGCAACACUAGAAAUACCACCAGCAGCAUAGGGGAGGCGACACAUGACAAGAGACAAAGUAAAGAAAACAAAAACUGUUGCAAACUUGAGGAUCCGCGUAGAGCGUGCUAACAAUCGACUGAAGGACUUCAAAAUCCUGGAGGGUACAUUUCCCAUAACACUCAUGUCAGCAGUAGAUGACAUUAUCAAGGUCUGUGCUGCAUUGGUUCGGAACCUGCAGCCAGACUUGGUCAAAUAAACAGUUGGCAUACAAGCCAUUCAAGUUGGCAGAGAUAAACGGUAUUGAAUUGCUGGCAGCUGAGUGCCAGUGACUUUUUUAAUGAUCCUUUACUGAUUAUGUUGUGAUAGCAGGAAACUGUGACCGAUGAUAAUAAUGACAAUGUAAUGAAGAUGUAAUAGAUAAAAGUGGAUCCUUUCUGUAACAUGUCCUCAAAUGUAUUCUCAAACAUUUUUCAUACAUUAAGUUGUGAGUUCUGUACAUUUAUGCUGCCAUACUGGUGGUGAUGUAGGAACAUAUUUUUUGGAAUAAAAUCAACGGGAUCUUA